Pelodiscus sinensis (Chinese soft-shelled turtle) is the source of this 307-nucleotide non-coding RNA. Lineage: Eukaryota; Metazoa; Chordata; Testudines; Trionychidae. The record is from RefSeq and is a predicted model, not a curated record.
AAACAAGAUAAGUUCUGUACAACCAGGAGUGCAGAUCCCAGUGACAAGGCUGGACACUGCUCAAAAGGCGUGACAUCUAAUAAGUUUAUCGACAGAUGAGACUUCUUUGGUACCUACCUACAGGCUCCAGGCUAGUGAAAUCUAGCUGGGACGGUAAUAGUUGGAACCCUCUGAGGAGUUAAUAAAAGAUACAAUAUAUUAUGAGUCAUGACUCCUGACAUACCAGAACAACAUAUUUCCUCAUUCCAGCCACACUAAGAAUUGAUGCAAAAGUGAAGAUAGAAAGAAGGACUUGUACAAAUCACAA